UGAGUAACCUGCCCUUAACUCUGGGAUAAGCCUGGGAAACUGGGUCUAAUACCGGAUAUGACUCCUCAUCGCAUGGUGGGGGGUGGAAAGCUUUAUUGUGGUUUUGGAUGGACUCGCGGCCUAUCAGCUUGUUGGUGAGGUAAUGGCUCACCAAGGCGACGACGGGUAGCCGGCUGAGAGGGUGACCGGCCACACUGGGACUGAGACACGGCCCAGACCUCCGUACGGGAGCAG
RNAcentral lists this ribosomal RNA (234 nucleotides) under uncultured bacterium. RNAcentral's name for it is "partial 16S ribosomal RNA". It matches the Rfam family "Bacterial small subunit ribosomal RNA", at positions 118 to 347 of the family's 1533-position model. The record is from RNAcentral.